Molecule: ribosomal RNA, 153 nt
Filed under: Bacillus subtilis J27
Lineage: Bacteria; Bacillati; Bacillota; Bacilli; Caryophanales; Bacillaceae
Source: RNAcentral
ACCUGUUAUCUAGUUUUGAGAGAACACUCUCAAUUUGUUUGGUGGCGAUAGCGAAGAGGUCACACCCGUUCCCAUACCGAACACGGAAGUUAAGCUCUUCAGCGCCGAUGGUAGUCGGGGGUUUCCCCCUGUGAGAGUAGGACGCCGCCAAGC